UGGAAAAGCCUCUACCUUUCCCUCAGAAU
This 29-nucleotide non-coding RNA is filed under the name Rattus norvegicus (Norway rat). Lineage: Eukaryota; Metazoa; Chordata; Mammalia; Rodentia; Muridae. The record is from RNAcentral.